RNAcentral lists this ribosomal RNA (420 nucleotides) under uncultured archaeon. Its description in RNAcentral is "partial 16S ribosomal RNA". It matches the Rfam family "Archaeal small subunit ribosomal RNA", at positions 323 to 746 of the family's 1478-position model. The record is from RNAcentral.
CUACGGGUUGCAGCAGUCGAGGAAAUUUUACAAUGCUCGAAAGAGUGAUAGAAUGAGUCAGAGUGUUUCUCUUAGAGAAACUUUUGUUUGCUGUAAAAAGGCAGACGAAUAAGGACUGGGUAAGACCGGUGCCAGCCGCCGCGGUAAUACCGGCGGUCCGAGUCGCAUCCACAUUUAUUGGGUCUAAAACAUCCGUAGCUUGUUUUGUAAGUCUCUUGUGAAAUCUUACAUCUCAAAUGUAAGGCGUGCAAGAGAUACUACAUCACUAGAGACCGGAAGACGCAAAGAGUAUGAUAAAGGUAGCGGUAAAAUGCGUUAAUCUUAAUCAGACUAACAAUAGCGAAGGCACUUUGCGAGUACGGAUCUGACAGUAAGGGAUGAAGGCUAGGGUCGCGAAAGGGAUUAGAUACCCCAGUAGUC